AUUGAACGCUGGCGGCAUGCCUUACACAUGCAAGUCGAACGGUAACAGGUCUUCGGAUGCUGACGAGUGGCGAACGGGUGAGUAAUACAUCGGAACGUGCCCGAUCGUGGGGGAUAACGCAGCGAAAGCUGUGCUAAUACCGCAUACGAUCUACGGAUGAAAGCGGGGGAUCGCAAGACCUCGCGCGGACGGAGCGGCCGAUGGCAGAUUAGGUAGUUGGUGGGAUAAAAGCUUACCAAGCCGACGAUCUGUAGCUGGUCUGAGAGGACGACCAGCCACACUGGGACUGAGACACGGCCCAGACUCCUACGGAGGCAGCAGUGGGGAAUUUUGGACAAUGGGCGCAAGCCUGAUCCAGCCAUGCCGCGUGCAGGAUGAAGGCCUUCGGGUUGUAAACUGCUUUUGUACGGUAACGAAAAAGACUACUCUCUAAUACAGGGGUGAAUGACGGUACCGUAAGAAGUAAGACACCGGCUAACUACGUGCCAGCAGCCGCGGUAA
Molecule: ribosomal RNA, 501 nt
Filed under: uncultured bacterium
Lineage: Bacteria
Description: bacterial SSU rRNA
Rfam family: Bacterial small subunit ribosomal RNA
Source: RNAcentral